This 483-nucleotide ribosomal RNA is filed under the name uncultured bacterium. Its description in RNAcentral is "partial 16S ribosomal RNA". It matches the Rfam family "Bacterial small subunit ribosomal RNA", at positions 28 to 507 of the family's 1533-position model. The record is from RNAcentral.
GACGAACGCUGGCGGCGUGCUUAACACAUGCAAGUCGAACGCUGAAGCUCAGCUUUUGUUGGGUGGAUGAGUGGCGAACGGGUGAGUAACACGUGAGUAACCUGCCCCCUUCUUUGGGAUAAUGCCCGGAAACGGGUGCUAAUACUGGAUAUUCACUGGUCUUCGCAUGGGGGUUGGUGGAAAGGGUUUUUCUGGUGGGGGAUGGGCUCGCGGCCUAUCAGCUUGUUGGUGGGGUGAUGGCCUACCAAGGCUUUGACGGGUAGCCGGCCUGAGAGGGUGACCGGUCACAUUGGGACUGAGAUACGGCCCAGACUCCUACGGGAGGCAGCAGUGGGGAAUAUUGCACAAUGGGCGCAAGCCUGAUGCAGCGACGCCGCGUGAGGGAUGGAGGCCUUCGGGUUGUGAACCUCUUUCGCUCAUGGUCAAGCCGCAACAAUGGUUGUGGUGAGGGCAGUGGGUAGAGAAGCGCCGGCUAACUACGUG